RNAcentral lists this transfer RNA (72 nucleotides) under Camelus bactrianus (Bactrian camel). It matches the Rfam family "tRNA". Rfam says of the family: Transfer RNA (tRNA) molecules are approximately 80 nucleotides in length. Their secondary structure includes four short double-helical elements and three loops (D, anti-codon, and T loops). RNAcentral also lists the same sequence under 2 other names. The record is from Rfam by way of RNAcentral. Lineage: Eukaryota; Metazoa; Chordata; Mammalia; Artiodactyla; Camelidae.
GAGGGGAUAGCUCAGUGGUAGAGUGUCUUCCUAGCAUGCUUGAGGUCCUGGGUUCGAUCCCCAGUACCUCCA